Molecule: ribosomal RNA, 492 nt
Filed under: uncultured bacterium
Lineage: Bacteria
Description: partial 16S ribosomal RNA
Rfam family: Bacterial small subunit ribosomal RNA
Source: RNAcentral
AGUGAACGCUGGCGGUAUGCCUAACACAUGCAAGUCGAACGACCACACAGUAAGAGCUUUCUCUUACGGUUGGCGACUGGCGGACGGGUGAGGAAUACAUCAGCAUCUACUUUUUCGUGGGUGAUUACGUAGGGCCACUUACACUACUACCGCAUACGACCUACGGGUUAAAUCAGUAGAUCUUCAGACCUUUCCCGACUCAAUUAGCCGGUGUCGGAUUAGCUAGUUGGCUGGGUAAGGGCCCACCAAGGCGACGCUCCGUAGCUGGUCUGAGAGGAUGAUCGGCCACACUGGAACUGAGACACGGUCCAGACUCCUACGGGAGGCAGCAGUGGGGAAUAUUCGACAAUGGGCGCAAGCCUGACCCAGCAAUACCGCGUGGGUGAAGAAGGUCUUCGGGUUGUAAAGCCCUGUUGUUGGGAAAGAAAAGAUGCAGGUGAAACCACGGCCGUUCUGACGGUACCUAAAGAAUAAGCACCGGCUAACUUCGUG